RNAcentral lists this small RNA (169 nucleotides) under Clostridium sp. SY8519. RNAcentral describes it as "Clostridiales-1 RNA". It matches the Rfam family "Clostridiales-1 RNA". The record is from Rfam by way of RNAcentral. Lineage: Bacteria; Bacillati; Bacillota; Clostridia; Eubacteriales; Clostridiaceae.
UGUUUACAGCGUCAUGUUAUCGGUAUGCCACAUCAUGCUUGCAUGAAUGCGGCAUACCGAUGACAUGACGCGCCCCUCCAAUGAGGAAGGAGCGGGGCAGGGGCCCCGCGGAAUCCGAAUAGGAGGUCAGAUUGCGGGAAUGCGAAGCAUGGAGCAAUCUGAGUAAACA